UCCCAUGAGGCUCAGUUGGUAGAGCAUGGCGCUUGCAAUGCCAGGGUUGUGGGUUCGACGUCCACAUUGCGAC
RNAcentral lists this transfer RNA (73 nucleotides) under Salmo salar (Atlantic salmon). It matches the Rfam family "tRNA". Rfam says of the family: Transfer RNA (tRNA) molecules are approximately 80 nucleotides in length. Their secondary structure includes four short double-helical elements and three loops (D, anti-codon, and T loops). Lineage: Eukaryota; Metazoa; Chordata; Actinopteri; Salmoniformes; Salmonidae. The record is from Rfam by way of RNAcentral. RNAcentral also lists the same sequence under 1 other name.